This is a non-coding RNA of Microcebus murinus (gray mouse lemur), 358 nucleotides long. NCBI's taxonomy places the organism in Eukaryota, Metazoa, Chordata, Mammalia, Primates, Cheirogaleidae. The record is from RefSeq and is a predicted model, not a curated record.
AGUGGCAGAAAGAGGAAAGGUAUAUAUAUAUUCAGGAUCUCGCCAUACAGAACACUGAGACUCUCAUAGGCUUCCUGACAACCUCUGCUCCCUCCAAGAACACAGGAGUUCUAGAUCACACCAAGGUCACCAUGAAGUCACUCAGUGAAGCAAACACCCAGUUUGCUUUAGAUAUGUUCCGACAGUUUGGAAAAUCAAAGGAGGACAACAUCUUCUAUUCCCCUUUCAGCAUCACAUCAGCAUUUGGGAUGCUUCUAUUAGGGUGCAGAGAAAACACUGCACUACAAAUCGAGAAGGUCCUUCACUUCAAUCAACUCACAGAAAACGCAAAACAAAGAACUGCCGCAUGUCAUGUGAG